UCUACGGGAGGCAGCAGUGGGGGAUAUUGCACAAUGGGGGGAACCCUGAUGCAGCGACGCCGCGUGGGUGAAGAAGCGCCUCGGCGCGUAAAGCCCUGUCAGCAGGGAAGAAAAUGACGGUACCUGAAGAAGAAGCCCCGGCUAACUACGUGCCAGCAGCCGCGGUAAUACGUAGGGGGCAAGCGUUAUCCGGAUUUACUGGGUGUAAAGGGGGCGCAGACGGCGAUGCAAGCCAGGAGUGAAAGCCCGGGGCCCAACCCCGGGACUGCUUUUGAAACUGUGUGGCUGGAGUGCAGGAGGGGCAGGCGGAAUUCCUGGUGUAGCGGUGAAAUGCGUAGAUAUUAGGAGGAACACCAGUGGCGAAGGCGGCUUUCUGGACUGUUACUGACACUGAGGUACGAAAGCGUGGGGAGCAAACAGGAUUAGAUACCCCAGUAGUC
This 440-nucleotide ribosomal RNA is filed under the name uncultured bacterium. RNAcentral describes it as "partial 16S ribosomal RNA". It matches the Rfam family "Bacterial small subunit ribosomal RNA", at positions 338 to 795 of the family's 1533-position model. The record is from RNAcentral.